RNAcentral lists this ribosomal RNA (137 nucleotides) under Weissella confusa. RNAcentral's name for it is "partial 16S ribosomal RNA". It matches the Rfam family "Bacterial small subunit ribosomal RNA", at positions 1405 to 1533 of the family's 1533-position model. Lineage: Bacteria; Bacillati; Bacillota; Bacilli; Lactobacillales; Lactobacillaceae. The record is from RNAcentral.
UGAGAGUUUGUAACACCCAAAGCCGGUGGGGUAACCUUCGGGAGCCAGCCGUCUAAGGUGGGACAGAUGAUUAGGGUGAAGUCGUAACAAGGUAGCCGUAGGAGAACCUGCCGCUGGAUCACCUCCUUUCUAAGGAA